Molecule: ribosomal RNA, 221 nt
Filed under: uncultured Streptococcus sp.
Lineage: Bacteria; Bacillati; Bacillota; Bacilli; Lactobacillales; Streptococcaceae
Description: partial 16S ribosomal RNA
Rfam family: Bacterial small subunit ribosomal RNA
Source: RNAcentral
CCGGAGGAAGGUGGGGAUGACGUCAAAUCAUCAUGCCCCUUAUGACCUGGGCUACACACGUGCUACAAUGGUUGGUACAACGAGUUGCGAGUCGGGUGACGGCGAGCUAAUCUCUUAAAGCCAAUCUCAGUUCGGAUUGUAGGCUGCAACUCGCCUACAUGAAGUCGGAAUCGCUAGUAAUCGCAGGUCAGCAUACUGCGGUGAAUACGUUCCCGGGCCUU